GCAGGAAUAGCUCAAUUGACCAAAGUGUGUGGCUGUUAACCACAAGGUAGGAGGUUCAAGCCAUCAUUCUAGCA
Non-coding RNA from Triticum aestivum (bread wheat), 74 nucleotides. The record is from Rfam. Lineage: Eukaryota; Viridiplantae; Streptophyta; Magnoliopsida; Poales; Poaceae.